GGUAUGUUUAUUGUGCUAGAACAACUCGGACCGUGAAGGAACACAGCCAGAGCAAGAGCAGCUUCUGCACCUCCAGGGAACUUGUUAGAAAUGCAGAUUCUCAGGCCCCAGCCCAGACCUACUGAAUCAGAAGCUCUGAGAGUGGAGUCCAGCAAUCUGUGUUUCAACAAGCGCAUGGUGGCUCGCUCCGAUGCCUGAUAAAGUUUGAGAACCACCCGCACCAAAGAAUAAAGGACUAACAACCAUAAGUAACAUCCUAGGUGAAAAUAAACAAACCAAAGAAGACAAAUGUACAAGUUCCAAAAAGAAAAAUCAAAAAACCAAACAGAG
This is a long non-coding RNA of Panthera uncia (snow leopard), 330 nucleotides long. RefSeq lists it as uncharacterized. The record is from RefSeq and is a predicted model, not a curated record. NCBI's taxonomy places the organism in Eukaryota, Metazoa, Chordata, Mammalia, Carnivora, Felidae. The transcript has 3 exons.